GGGCUCCCUCAGGCGGGCGGGGCUGCGGCGGUGCCGCCCGCGGCCUCUUUCCGUGUGCGGCUGCAGCUGGUAUCGUAGAACCGUGGAAUUAUAGCAUUAUAGAACCAUAGAAUUAGAGAAUCACAGAAUUGUAGAACCGUCAAGGUUGGAAGAGAUCUUUAAGAUCGUCCAGUCCAGCCGUCCACCCACUAACGACUAAACACCGAACCGCAUCACCCGGCGCCAGAUCCAGACGCCUCUUAAACACCUCCAGGGAUGGUGAUUCCACCACUUCCCUGGGCAACCUGGCGCCGCACCAGUUCCCUCCACAUAGAGCAGCCACACAGAAUUACUGAAUCACAAAAUCAACUAGGUUGGAAAAGACCUCUGAGAUUACUGAGUCCAAGCUCCGACCAACCACACCGCCAUGUCAACUAUGUCACCAUGUCAUGGCAGGAAGCGCCAUGUCUGGUCUUUGGAGAGAUAUUGCAACAUGGCUCUGCCACCAGCAGAACUCUGAGCAGGGCAGUGCUGGGGAGAGCCAAGCUCUGUAUGAGCGACAGAAAACCGAGAGGAAAAAGAAAAAAUCCACAUCUGUGAGGUGUUCAGAGACGUCAGGGAGCUGCCGGUGUUUGCUAAAGUUCCCGUGAUCCUUAUUGCCUGCUUGUCUCUUGGAGCUGGAAGCCGACGAGUGGGAUCAGAGCACAUGGCAGCCCACGGCUUUUGGUGUCAUCCCCAGGGAUGGAGUCUCUCACAACCUCUUCAUCCCAAUUUACAAAAACAAAGUCUGCACAGUAGUUUUUUUAGGCUUAGUUUAUUACAAGUUUUACUAAUUUAUUACAGUGGAUCUAAUUUUAAUCAGUCAAAACUUACUGACUGUGUCUAGACAAAAAUCAUCAGGUGAACCAUUCUGAUAGAGAUUUCCAAGAGUCUCAUGACUUUAUAACUGUGCCUCUUACAUCCAGGCAUGAACUUUCAGAUUGGAACAAAGUACAGACUUGCAGCUUGGCUAAAGUCAGUCAGUUUCCUAACAGAAAUCAUGACUUGUACUGGAAAUUUUUCAAAUAGCCUUGAAGUUAAUUAAAAAAAAAAUAGAAAAAAAAUUGAGGAGCCUUUCUCUUAAAUUAGUAAAUUUUAGUAGGGCAGAAUGACUCAAAAUAGCAGUGUCCUUCCCUUAAAAGUCUUCUUUUUUCAUUAAAAAAAGGGGGAAAUAUUAUGAAUUUUAACAGGGACCAUCUGUAAUCAAGCAUCCCCCAUUUUCAAGACUUCUCAGUUCAGGGAUUUCAAUGCUGUGUUUUCACUUAGGAUAGAUGUGCAAGGCAAACACAGCUUCAAAACUGCUCCACAUGACAGAAGAAUUACCUAAUAAUCUAGUUUCAUCUAUAGGUUCUUUUCACACAGUAAUACGAAAAAUAUUUCUAUGCCUAGUUAUUCUUAUGAGGUAAUCUAAGUCUUCUAAAUUGAGGUCAUGUUGUAACAAGUUUAUUUUUCCGCUGUGAUUAAAAAUGCUGCAGGACUGUGCUGUCUUAUGCAGGGCAGCAACAAUUACACAUCCUUACCUACCAGCAAAUGUGGAAAUAGUUGUCUGGAAAAGCCAAGAUGUAGGCUCAGUCUGUAGAAGGUGCAGUGCUGCUCCACAUGAUCUAGCAUAUGAGGUAUAUAUAGAUAUAUAUCUACAGUUCUGUUUGUUUGUGUUUUCAAUAAGAUGUUUUAAACAUAAUCGUGUCAGAAAGUCUAUUUCUGUUGAGUGCUAUUUUAACAUUUUGUUAAGGAAGAAACCUCAUAAUGAUAUGAUUCUCAAGAAAACAGAUGAUUGGGCUUGCUUACCUUUUCAAUUUUACAUAGCAGACACAAAGACAAGGCAGACACAUGCGUAGGAAAUUACUCAUUGUAAUUAUGUUGAAACAGAAAAUGUCAGCAUGUGAACCCUGUAGAAAGGACUGCCCACUGUGAAGCUGUUGGGUCUGUGCAAGCUCCUGGGAGAACUGGCUGAUGGUGUCCCAUCCUGGCUGUGGGAGCCUUUGCUGAACUGCAUCCUCUCAGAUCCCUUUCAGGGACUCUGUCAUGAAGUUUCUCUUCUCUGAUCUGCUGUUCAAAAUAGCAACCGUUCCUUGACAUGACCUACUUAAGGUCUGACACAACGAAGCAGUGUGCUCAAAGAGGGCAGUGUGUUAUCUCUGCUGGCGCCAAGAUGUGUCAAAACAGCAGUCUUGAGGAUUUGUGUUUAAAGAUGCGGUCUCGUGAGACCAGGGCAGAGACCAAACAUCCUGGUGAAUUUCCCAUUUUGUCAUAAUUACAGAAUGUUCUUUCUUUGCUAAUUGGGAAUAUAUUUGCUGUCUUCUCUGUUGUUAUGUAAUGUCUGCAACAUACAUUUUUUGACACUUAGGAUAAAAGACUCUGUUUAAAAGUAAUAUAUUGUAAUGAGAAAAAAUGGUGUCUCAGUUAUCAUAAAAAGUGAAUCCUUCUGUUUGAUGCUUAUGCCUAGUAUGCUCAUGUAAAUCAAAUACAUUUUCUUUAUCUAACAAAUAAGUUUGGUAAAGUUCCUCAGUAAGGACCAGCAUAUUUUUUAAAGUAAUUUAUAUAAGGAAUUUGUGUUUGUUAGUUCACUAACCAUGUUUCUUUCCCUUUAUGAUCUGUGCAAUAAACCUCUACAAAUUCUUUUGUGAUUUACAACUCCUUUAGAUCUCCAGUCUUUCCCAGGAAUAAAAGCAUGUUAAGCAAAAGGAAUCGGCAAACCUGAGCCUUACAGGGAAACUAUAUCUGGAUAAUGAUGUAAUUAACCAUCAAAAUUGCUCUAGCAGAGCAAAAGUGAUCUUGAUUUGGUCGUAAAAGAACAUUACAUAUUUGAAUAAAUCUUUAAGCCAGGUGUUUGUGGAGAAGUGAAUUAAAACUGCUUCCUCCUGCCCUUUAAAGAAUUAAAUUCUGAGAUUCAUCAGUUGACAGCACUUGUUGACAUUCAGUGUGCCUAAGGCAAACACAAGUGCUCUUCUCAUUUUAAUUUGCAAUGUGCUGGGAAAAUAUAGCGCAUGACUUCUGAGAAUUUAAGUGCAUUCCAGGUCAAUUUUAUUCCAAAUUUGCAAGUCAAUUUGUAGGACAAAAGAGUGAUUAAUCUGUCAGAUAUAUGUACCUCAAACAAAGUUCUUUAUGCCUUGUAACACACUCUGUAAAUAAAGGCUAUUAAGAUGA
Long non-coding RNA from Pipra filicauda (Wire-tailed manakin), 3165 nucleotides. RefSeq lists it as uncharacterized. The record is from RefSeq and is a predicted model, not a curated record. The transcript has 2 exons. Lineage: Eukaryota; Metazoa; Chordata; Aves; Passeriformes; Pipridae.